Molecule: ribosomal RNA, 474 nt
Filed under: uncultured Desulfobulbus sp.
Lineage: Bacteria; Pseudomonadati; Thermodesulfobacteriota; Desulfobulbia; Desulfobulbales; Desulfobulbaceae
Description: bacterial SSU rRNA
Rfam family: Bacterial small subunit ribosomal RNA
Source: RNAcentral
GAGGGGCCCGCACAAGCGGUGGAGUAUGUGGUUUAAUUCGAUGCAACGCGAAGAACCUUACCUGGUCUUGACAUCCCAGAAAUCCCUUGGAAACUUGGGAGUGCUUCCAUUAGGAAGAAUCUGGAGACAGGUGCUGCAUGGCUGUCGUCAGCUCGUGUCGUGAGAUGUUGGGUUAAGUCCCGCAACGAGCGCAACCCUUGCCCUUAGUUGCCAGCAGUUCGGCUGGGCACUCUAAAGGGACUGCCGGUGUUAAACCGGAGGAAGGUGGGGAUGACGUCAAGUCCUCAUGGCCUUUAUGACCAGGGCUACACACGUACUACAAUAGCCGAUACAAAGGGCAGCGACAUCGCGAGGUGAAGCCAAUCCCAUAAAAUCGGUCUCAGUCCGGAUUGGAGUCUGCAACUCGACUCCAUGAAGUUGGAAUCGCUAGUAAUCGUGGAUCAGCAUGCCACGGUGAAUACGUUCCCGGGCCUU